CCUACGGGGGGCUGCAGUCGAGAAUCAUUCACAAUGGGGGAAACCCUGAUGGGGCGACGCCGCGUGGGGGAAUGAAGGUCUGCGGAUUGUAAACCCCUGUCAUGUGGGAGCAAAUUAAAAAGAUAGUACCACAAGAGGAAGAGACGGCUAACGCUGUGCCAGCAGCCGCGGUAAUACAGAGGUCUCAAGCGUUGUUCGGAAGCACUGGGCGUAAAGGGUGCGUAGGCUGUUUCGUCAGUCGUGUGUGAAAGGCGCGGGCUCAACCCGCGGACGGCACCUGAUACUGCGAGACUAGAGUAAUGGAGCGGGAACCUGACUUCUCGGUGUAGCCGU
RNAcentral lists this ribosomal RNA (333 nucleotides) under uncultured bacterium. RNAcentral describes it as "partial 16S ribosomal RNA". It matches the Rfam family "Bacterial small subunit ribosomal RNA", at positions 338 to 682 of the family's 1533-position model. The record is from RNAcentral.